This 484-nucleotide ribosomal RNA is filed under the name uncultured bacterium. Its description in RNAcentral is "partial 16S ribosomal RNA". It matches the Rfam family "Bacterial small subunit ribosomal RNA", at positions 30 to 507 of the family's 1533-position model. The record is from RNAcentral.
AUUGAACGCUGGCGGCAGGCCUAACACAUGCAAGUCGAGCGGAUGAAGGGAGCUUGCUCCUGGAUUCAGCGGCGGACGGGUGAGUAAUGCCUAGGAAUCUGCCUGGUAGUGGGGGAUAACGUCCGGAAACGGGCGCUAAUACCGCAUACGUCCUGAGGGAGAAAGUGGGGGAUCUUCGGACCUCACGCUAUCAAAUGAGCCUAGGUCGGAUUAGCUAGUUGGUGGGGUAAAGGCCUACCAAGGCGACGAUCCGUAACUGGUCUGAGAGGAUGAUCAGUCACACUGGAACUGAGACACGGUCCAGACUCCUACGGGAGGCAGCAGUGGGGAAUAUUGGACAAUGGGCGAAAGCCUGAUUCAGCCAUGCCGCGUGUGUGAAGAAGGUCUUCGGAUUGUAAAGCACUUUAAGUUGGGAGGAGGGGCAGUAAGUUAAUACCUUGCUGUUUUGACGUUACCAACAGAAUAAGCACCGGCUAACUUCGUG